CCAAUAGCGUAUAUUAACGUUGUUGCAGUUAAAAAGCUCGUAGUUGAAUUUCAGGCCUGGCUGGACGGUCCGCCCUUCGGGUGAGUACUGUCUGUGGUCGGGUCCUACCUUCUGGCGAAGCGUCAUGGCCUUAACCGGCCGUGGCGGGGAACCAGGACUUUUACUGUGAAAAAAUUAGAGUGUUCAAAGCAGGCAAUCGCUUGGAUACAUUAGCAUGGAAUAAUGGAAUAGGACAAUGGUUCUAUUUGUUGGUUUCUAGGACCGUUGUAAUGAUUAAUAGGGAUAGUUGGGGGCAUUAGUAUUCAAUUGUCAGAGGUGAAAUUCUUGGAUUUAUUGAAGACUAACUACUGCGAAAGCAUUUGCCAAGGAUGUUUUCAUUAAUCAAGAACGAAAGUUAGGGGAUCGAAGACGAUCAGAUACCGUCGUAGUCUUAACCAUAAACUAUGCCGACUAGGAAUCGGGCGAUGUUGACAAAAUGACGCGCUCGGCACCUCAUG
This 497-nucleotide ribosomal RNA is filed under the name uncultured Glomeromycotina. Its description in RNAcentral is "partial small subunit ribosomal RNA". It matches the Rfam family "Eukaryotic small subunit ribosomal RNA", at positions 591 to 1092 of the family's 1831-position model. The record is from RNAcentral. Lineage: Eukaryota; Fungi; Glomeromycota.